This 90-nucleotide transfer RNA is filed under the name Prosthecobacter fusiformis. RNAcentral's name for it is "tRNA-Ser". It matches the Rfam family "tRNA". From Rfam's summary of the family: Transfer RNA (tRNA) molecules are approximately 80 nucleotides in length. Their secondary structure includes four short double-helical elements and three loops (D, anti-codon, and T loops). Further hydrogen bonds mediate the characteristic L-shaped molecular structure. tRNAs have two regions of fundamental functional importance: the anti-codon, which is responsible for specific mRNA codon recognition, and the 3' end, to which the tRNAs corresponding amino acid is attached (by aminoacyl-tRNA synthetases). tRNAs cope with the degeneracy of the genetic code in two manners: having more than one tRNA (with a specific anti-codon) for a particular amino acid; and 'wobble' base-pairing, i.e. permitting non-standard base-pairing at the 3rd anti-codon position. Lineage: Bacteria; Pseudomonadati; Verrucomicrobiota; Verrucomicrobiia; Verrucomicrobiales; Verrucomicrobiaceae. RNAcentral also lists the same sequence under 3 other names. The record is from RNAcentral.
GGAAGGGUGGCUGAGUGGUCUAAAGUACCUGACUCGAAAUCAGACGUGGGGGCAACUUCACCGUGGGUUCGAAUCCCACCCCUUCCGCCA